This 253-nucleotide ribosomal RNA is filed under the name uncultured bacterium. RNAcentral describes it as "partial 16S ribosomal RNA". It matches the Rfam family "Bacterial small subunit ribosomal RNA", at positions 524 to 776 of the family's 1533-position model. The record is from RNAcentral.
UACGUAGGCAGCAAGCGUUGUUCGGAAUUACUGGGCGUAAAGAGUGUGUAGGCGGUGCUCUAAGUUUGGUGUGAAAUCUCCCGGCUCAACUGGGAGGGUGCGCCGAAAACUGGAAUGCUUGAACAUGGGAGAGGAAAGCGGAAUUCCUGGUGUAGCGGUGAAAUGCGUAGAUAUCAUUUGGAACGCCAAUGGUGAAAACAGGUAGCUGGGGCUGUGCUGACGCUGAGACACGAAAGCCAGGGGAGCAAACGGG